ACGAGAUGCCGUGCCCGUACGAGCGGCGCGACCGAUAAACUGGCGGCGGAGUGCCGGGCGCAGCCCUGUGCGCACUCCGCCAAAGAUCUAGCCAGCAGCCGCUGCAACCCCAGGGAG
RNAcentral lists this small RNA (117 nucleotides) under Actinacidiphila paucisporea. RNAcentral's name for it is "Streptomyces paucisporeus Streptomyces-metK RNA". It matches the Rfam family "Streptomyces-metK RNA". Lineage: Bacteria; Bacillati; Actinomycetota; Actinomycetes; Kitasatosporales; Streptomycetaceae. The record is from Rfam by way of RNAcentral.